RNAcentral lists this ribosomal RNA (471 nucleotides) under uncultured bacterium. RNAcentral's name for it is "SSU rRNA". It matches the Rfam family "Bacterial small subunit ribosomal RNA", at positions 26 to 518 of the family's 1533-position model. The record is from RNAcentral.
AGGACGAACGCUGGCGGCGCGCCUAACACAUGCAAGUCGAGCGAGAACCAGGGCUUGCCCUGGGGAAAGCGGCGAACGGGUGCGUAACACGUGAGCAACCUGCCCCAAAGACCGGGACAACCCGAGGAAACUCGGACUAAUACCGGAUGCCCUCACCGGGCCGCAUGGUCUGGUGAGGAAAUGGAUUCCGCUUUGGGAUGGGCUCGCGGUCUAUCAGCUUGUUGGUGGGGUAACGGCCUACCAAGGCGACGACGGAUAGCUGGUCUGAGAGGACGAUCAGCCACACUGGGACUGAGACACGGCCCAGACUCCUACGGGAGGCAGCAGUGGGGAAUCUUGCGCAAUGGGGGAAACCCUGACGCAGCGACGCCGCGUGCGGGAUGAAGGCCUUCGGGUUGUAAACCGCUUUCAGCAGGGACGAAAUUGACGGUACCUGCAGAGAAGGCCCGGCAACUACGCGCCAGCAGCCGC